UUCCCGUCUCCCUCCACACCUUGCCUCCUCCAGGCCCAACCCCAUUCCACCAGCACCCCGCCCCAGGCGCACUGGCUAGGACUGGAAGGCAAGGACUAAGGUGAAAGCUGACUGCCCGCACCGCCCCAGGCGCACUGGGUAGGACUGAAAGGCAGGGACUAAGGUGACAGCUGACUCUGCCGGGGCGGAGUGCGUGUCCUCCCACCGUGCUGGCGCUGAACUGACUGUCCGCUGCCAAGGGAAGUGACAGCCGCAGCCGGGCUCUCAGCCAGCGGCCAGGCGCCCCGCGGACCAUGCUCUCCAGUACGCAGAACGCGGGCGGCUCCUAUCAGCGGGUCCGCGGGGCGCUUGAUACACAGAAAUGCAGUCCAGAGAAAAGUGCCUCAUUUUUCAGUAAAGUGACAUAUUCCUGGUUUAGCAGAGUAAUUACUUUAGGCUAUAAGAGACCUUUGGAAAGAGAGGAUCUUUUUGAACUAAAGGAAAGUGAUUCCUUCUGCACUGCGUGUCCCAUCUUUGAAAAACAAUGGAGAAAGGAAGUUUUAAGGAAUCAAGAGAGGCAAAAAGUAAAGGUAUCUUGUUAUAAAGAGGCACAUAUCAAGAAACCAUCUCUACUCUAUGCAUUGUGGAACACCUUUAAAUCCAUCCUGAUUCAAGUUGCCUUAUUCAAAGUGUUUGCUGAUAUUUUGUCCUUCACUAGCCCACUCAUAAUGAAGCAAAUUAUCAUUUUCUGUGAACACAGCUCAGAUUUUGGCUGGAAUGGCUAUGGCUAUGCAGUGGCACUUCUUGUUGUAGUCUUUUUGCAAACUCUGAUUCUUCAGCAAUAUCAACGUUUUAACAUGCUCACCUCAGCAAAAGUUAAGACAGCUGUAAAUGGACUGAUCUACAAAAAGGUGUCCCUGGCAACCUUGUGUGUCUAUUUCUUACUGGAUGAAGGAAACAUUUUAACAGCCACUAAAGUGUUCACAUCGAUGUCUUUGUUUAAUAUUUUAAGGAUUCCUCUGUUUGAGUUACCAACCGUGAUCUCAGCUGUGGUCCAGACAAAGAUAUCCCUGGGCCGUUUGGAAGACUUUCUCAACACUGAGGAGCUUCUUCCUCAAAGUAUUGAAACGAACUAUACAGGAGAUCAUGCUAUUGGGUUUACAGAUGCUUCUUUCUCCUGGGAUAAAACAGGAAUGCCAGUUCUAAAAGAGGCUCUGUGGCUUAUGUUUCUCAGCAGGCCUGGAUUCAGAAUUGCAUUUUGCAAGAAAACAUUCUCUUUGGCUCCAUCAUGAAGAAAGAGUUUUAUGAGCAAGUAUUGGAAGCCUGUGCUCUCCUUCCAGAUUUGGAGCAGUUGCCAAAGGGAGAUCAAACUGAGAUUGGAGAAAGAGUAAGGAAACUGCUGUGAAUAUAAGUGGGGGCCAGCAGCAUCGAGUAAGCCUGGCCAGAGCUGUCUACAGUGGGGCCGACGUCUACCUCCUGGAUGAUCCCUUGUCUGCUAUUGAUGUUCAUGUUGGAAAGCAGCUUUUUGAAAAAGUGAUAGGGUCCUUGGGCCUUUUGAAAAACCGGGUAGCCAUAGUUUCAUUUAUGCUUUCUUGUGGGGCAGGGGAUAUAUCUAGCACUGUGCCUAAAAUUCCAUUUAUUUUGUUUAUUUGUUGAAGCAAAGUAGUCACAUUUCACAUGAAAAAAAUGGGAUGCUCAGAUUGCAAUUUCACAGGCAAAUGUCAAUGGGUAAUUUUUGAAGUUUUACUUACAAGUUUACUCUGGUGACAAUUUAUGUGAUUGUUAUCUCUUCAUCUAAUACCAUAUCCUAAGGGGAUGUAUGUGCCAUAAUGAAUUGUUGUUGACUCAAGUGAUUUUUACAAUGGUAUUUUGGUGCACACCAAAAUAUUAAUAAAAUUUUAUAUUAUUAACAUAGCAAUUUGACAUUAUUAUCACAGCAAUCAUAGUGAUUCAGCUGUUUUGUUAAAGGGCCAAGAAGAUGAAAAUUAGUGUUUACCAGUACAUGCCAUAUUUCACAGGGUAAAUUAGUUCAAUCCCUAUUUCACACAUAAAGGAGCUCAGGGCUCACAAUGACUUGAUAUAGGUUGCUCAACUUAAGAACAAUAGAGAUUUUUAAAAGUAUGUCUGACUCCAAAGCCACAUUCUUCAUAAUAUGUGUUUAUGGAAUUAUUAAUAUAGAGAACUUUGAAAAUAUAUGUAUAAAAUUAUAAAAUAUAUGUCUCAGUAAAAAUAAACAAACAUCUUUAUAUAUUGACAUAAACCCAAGAUUAAAAAUGUCACACUUAAUUGUAUGUAUAUGUAUAAAAUAAUAUGAAUGAUUUAAAAAUAAGGACUAUGAAUUAUGACUUGGAUUAAACACUUUUUUGUAAUGGUACUGUAUAUUUAAAAAUAAGCAAGAAUGACAUAUAUGAAAUUGUUUUAAAUUUGCAAUUAAAUUGAUUCAUUUCUAAUGAACGAAAAAAUACCCGAACUAAAGUGUUAAAAAUCACAUUUAGAAACUAUUUUCUCAUCUAGCAGCAUGUCAUUAUUCCUUGUAAAAUACAUAGAUGCUGCCUUAAACUGGCACCUACCAAAAAUCAUACUCUGAAAUAGUAAAGGAAAAAAGUCAUUGUAGCUUUUUUUAAAAAGCCAUUUUUCGUAAUCUCUGAGAUAAAACACUUUGUUUUUCAGACUCAUAUUUUAGUGACACACAAUCUCACACUUCUGCCACAAAUGAAUCUUAUUGUUGUAAUGAAAAGUGGCAGAAUAGCUCAAAUGGGAAUAUACCAGGAGCUGCUGUGUAAAACCAAAAAUCUCACUAAUUUGCACCAAGUCAUCAGUGAACAAGAAAAAGCUCAUGCUCUAAAGCAAGUCAGUGCAAUCAACUCCAGAACUAGACCAAAAGACAAAAUCCUGGAGCAAAAACAUAGUGGGAUAUGAGUCCCCUUCUGAGAGUCAUGCAAGGAUUUCUAGGCACUGUUAAGAACCCACGUAGAAAGAAGAUGUUAAGUGACGGUAGAACCAGUUUUCAGGGUUGCCUGAUUUUUUGAAGCAGCACUUCACAGAAGUCGAGGUGACCAGGAUUGACAUGCAAGUUCUAAGAGACAGGCCCUCAUUGGAUCAAGGAAAACAGCUCUCAAUGAAAAAAGAAAAGAUCCCUGUUGGUGGGUUGAAGUUCUCCAUCAUUCUGCAGUACCUCCAAGCCUUUGGCUGGCUCUGGGUGUGGCUGACUGUGGUCACUUACUUAGGGCAGAAUUUGGUGAGCAUUGGACAGAAUCUAUGGCUUAGUGCAUGGGCAAAAGAAGCAAAAAACAUGAAUGAGUUCACAGAAUGGAAGCAAAUAAGAAGCAAUAAACUUAACAUCUAUGGAUUAUUGGGAUUAAUAAAAGGUAAAAGAAAAUGUAAA
Molecule: long non-coding RNA, 3364 nt
Filed under: Homo sapiens (human)
Lineage: Eukaryota; Metazoa; Chordata; Mammalia; Primates; Hominidae
Description: non-protein coding lnc-RBM11-5:2
Source: RNAcentral